UUAACUCAUAUUUGUAUGGAAUGGGAUCGUUUGCCCACGUUUGCCGCUAGGGGCGCUGUUCCAACUGCAUACAAAAUUGGAUUA
RNAcentral lists this microRNA precursor (84 nucleotides) under Bombyx mori (domestic silkworm). RNAcentral describes it as "mir-2807 microRNA precursor family". It matches the Rfam family "mir-2807 microRNA precursor family". The record is from Rfam by way of RNAcentral. Lineage: Eukaryota; Metazoa; Arthropoda; Insecta; Lepidoptera; Bombycidae.